CCCAGCGUAGCUCAACCGGCAGAGCGCCGCGCUUACACCGCGGAGGUUGCGGGAUCGUUGCCCGCCGCUGGAA
This 73-nucleotide transfer RNA is filed under the name Kouleothrix aurantiaca. It matches the Rfam family "tRNA". From Rfam's summary of the family: Transfer RNA (tRNA) molecules are approximately 80 nucleotides in length. Their secondary structure includes four short double-helical elements and three loops (D, anti-codon, and T loops). The record is from Rfam by way of RNAcentral. Lineage: Bacteria; Bacillati; Chloroflexota; Chloroflexia; Chloroflexales; Roseiflexaceae.